This is a small nucleolar RNA of Diceros bicornis minor, 130 nucleotides long. RefSeq annotates it as small nucleolar RNA SNORA31. Lineage: Eukaryota; Metazoa; Chordata; Mammalia; Perissodactyla; Rhinocerotidae. The transcript has a single exon. The record is from RefSeq and is a predicted model, not a curated record.
AUGUAUCUAUUUGACAGACCUGAAGCAGUUACUUUCUGCUGCUAAGGUUUCCACUACAGACACAAGAAAAAAGCGUCCUUAUGCUUUCCGUUUGAUUGUAGCAGACAAGAUUGAAUGGGGAAACACAGGA